AAAGUCUGAGGUUCGACAGCGAUCAGAUACCGCUUUAGUUCAGACCGUAAACGAUGCCAUCUGGCGAUCCACCGGCGUUAUGUAUGACUCGGUGGGCAGCCACCGGUAAACCUUUAAGUCAGGUUCCGGGGGAAGUAUGGUUGCAAAGCUGAAACUUAAAGGAAUUGACGGAAGGGCACCACCAGGAGUGGAGCCUGCGGCUUAAUUUGACUCAACACGGGGAAACUCACCCGGCCCGGACACCGUAAGGAUUGACAGAUUGAUAGCUCUUUCUUGAUUCGGUGGGUGGUGGUGCAUGGCCGUUCUUAGUUGGUGGAGCGAUUUGUCUGGUUUAUUCCGAUAACGAACGAGACUCUAGCCUACUAAAUAGACAGCACUUCUUUAGAGUGUUGCACUUCUUAGAGGGACAAGCGACGUCUAGUCGCACGAGAUUGAGCAAUAACAGGUCUGUGAUGCCCUUAGAUGUUCGGGGCUGCACGCGCGCUACACUGAAGGCAUCAUCAUGUCUAUCAACCUACCCCGGAAGGGGCGGGUAACCCGAUGAAACGCCUUCGUGAUUGGGAUAGGGAAUUGCAAUUAUUUCCCUUGAACGAGGAAUUCCCAGUAAGUGCGGGUCAUCAGCUCGCGCUGAUUACGUCCCUGCC
This 644-nucleotide ribosomal RNA is filed under the name Paratrichodorus teres. RNAcentral describes it as "SSU rRNA". It matches the Rfam family "Eukaryotic small subunit ribosomal RNA", at positions 986 to 1657 of the family's 1831-position model. Lineage: Eukaryota; Metazoa; Nematoda; Enoplea; Triplonchida; Trichodoridae. The record is from RNAcentral.